This 1679-nucleotide ribosomal RNA is filed under the name Stathmonotus gymnodermis. RNAcentral's name for it is "16S ribosomal RNA". The stretch from base 75 to 1570 matches the Rfam family "Bacterial large subunit ribosomal RNA". The record is from RNAcentral. Lineage: Eukaryota; Metazoa; Chordata; Actinopteri; Blenniiformes; Labrisomidae.
UGCUUAGCAGCUAGCUUUAUCGAUAAAAUGCACCAUAUACUUAUUAUUAAACCAAUAAGUCCUAAUUAAGUUUAUAUUAAACCAUUUUUCCCCUUAAGUAUAGGAGACAGAAAAAGACAUUAAAGCAAUAGAAAAAGUACCGCAAGGGAAUGCUGAAAAAGAAAUGAAAAAACUCAGUAAAGCAUUAAAAAGCAAAGCUUAAACCUUGUACCUUUUGCAUCAUGAAUUAGUGAGAAACCGUCUGGCAAAAUGAGUUUUAGUCCGACACCCCGAAACCUAGUGAGCUACUCCGAGAUAGCCUGCAAGGGCAAACCCGUCCCUGUGGCAAAAGGGUGGGAAAAGCUUCGAGUAGAGGUGACAAAUCUACCGAACUAGGUUAUAGCUGGUUACCUAAGAAAUGAAUAAAAGUUCAGCUUCUUAUGUUCUUCCACUUAUUAUAGGCCCCCUUAAAUAAGCCAAAGAAAAUAAGAAAAAUAGACAAAAGGGGUACAGCCCUUCUGUAAAAAGACACAGCUUUCCUGGGCAGGGUAAAGAUCAAAUUUAAUAAGGCAAAACCCUCCAGUGGGCUUAAAAGCAGCCACCUGAAAAGAAAGCGUUAAAGCUCGGCGACUCUUUACGCCACUAAUUUUGAUAUCUUAUUCUUAGCCCGCCCUCUCCUAUUAGGUCGCCUCAUGCCCCCAUGAGAGUGACUAUGCUAAUAUAAGUAAUAAGAGAAUUGAAUCUCUCCCUGCACACGUGUAUGUCAGAAUGAACAAAUCACUGAUAUUUAACGCCCCCAAUAAGAGGGCCCUUGGUUAAAAAUUUAUUACAAGAAGUACGCCAACCACUCCCCCGUUAAUCUUACACAAGAGUGCUCUUUGGGAAAGACAUAAAGGAAGAGAAGGAACUCGGCAAAUUCUUAUUAAGCCCCGCCUGUUUACCAAAAACAUCGCCUCUUGUCCACUAAAAAUAAGAGGUCCUGCCUGCCCUGUGAUUAUUAAUUUAACGGCCGCGGUAUUUUGACCGUGCAAAGGUAGCGCAAUCACUUGUCUCUUAAAUGGAGACCUGUAUGAAUGGCAAAACGAGGGCUUGACUGUCUCCUUUUCCUAGUCAAUGAAAUUGAUCUUCCCGUGCAGAAGCGGGAAUAAUUACAUAAGACGAGAAGACCCUGUGGAGCUUUAGACACAUCUAGCAGCCCCCGUAAAGCAAGUUUUAUAAAAACUAAAACUAGGUUAGACUGCUUCACUGUCUUUGGUUGGGGCGACCACGGAGAAACACUUAACCUCCAUGUAGACCGGGGUUAUAAAUCCUAGAGAAAAGACCGACCUGUCGAUACAACAGAAUUUCUGACUAAUAAUGAUCCGGCUUAACCGAUCAACGAACCGAGUUACCCCAGGGAUAACAGCGCAAUCCUCUUCCAGAGCCCUUAUCGACAAGAGGGUUUACGACCUCGAUGUUGGAUCAGGACAUCCUAAUGGUGUAGCCGCUAUUAAGGGUUCGUUUGUUCAACGAUUAAAGUCCUACGUGAUCUGAGUUCAGACCGGAGCAAUCCAGGUCAGUUUCUAUCUAUGGUGUGUAAUUUUUUAGUACGAAAGGACCGGAAAGAACAGGCCCCUGCUUAAACAUGCCUGACCCUCAACUCAUGACGUCAACUAAAACUGACGAAGGGGCACCCCCCCCCCAACCAAAAAUAAUGGCUU